GCGGCUGUAGUUUAGUGGUAGAACUUUAGCUUCCCAAGCUAACCGUGCGGGUUCGAUUCCCGUCAGCCGCUCCA
This 74-nucleotide transfer RNA is filed under the name Tenericutes bacterium ADurb.Bin087. RNAcentral's name for it is "tRNA-Gly". It matches the Rfam family "tRNA". Rfam says of the family: Transfer RNA (tRNA) molecules are approximately 80 nucleotides in length. Their secondary structure includes four short double-helical elements and three loops (D, anti-codon, and T loops). Lineage: Bacteria; Bacillati; Mycoplasmatota. The record is from RNAcentral.